UCUUCCCUGACCGAUGGAUAAUAAAAGAGUCACCCGCGUAAGUUUAUAAUUUAUUCUUCAAACAUCAACACUUCAUUGGUAAGGAAAAGACAGUAAAAAUGCACAUGAAUUAGAGCUCGCAUUAUUUAAUAAUUAAAAAUUAAUUGUCGGCAAUACAUGACUCUGAAAUAUCUGUUGAACGUUGUUGAUCGAUGCACAAUAAAUCAAAACUUACCGACAAGUUGCGCCUCCACCGGCCGUGUUUCCAAGCAGGACUCGGGUCGGUGGUUCCAUUCACUGACGCUGACGUCACUGAAAGCCACCGAGGUCCCGGUAAAACGUGUGCAGAAACGACCGUUAGCCGGUAGCAUCCGCAAAACUCGAUCCUCUCCGGCAGGAUCUGGCAUCUGAUUGCGUCACGCGCCGAUACAAGCGAACGGAUACACGGACUCUCGUCUCGAAGUCUGGCAGUCCUUGACGCAGGCCUCGAUCCCGGCGAAAGAUGAGCAAACUCGAGAUCCGUGAGAGAUUCGCCGUACUUCCUCGAAGAAACGACUUCUCCGACCAGUUUGCUCUCGGAGAACGCCAAUCGAUAUAAGACUGCGAAUACGUGAAUUUUCUUCCUGUUAAGGAACUCCAUAUCAGGUCAUCGUUGAUCGAUCGUAUUUCCGUAUAUCGUAGUUCAAUAGGUCCGUCUUUGAACCUGUCAAAUCGUUGCACCUCAUUUUCGCGUGAGAUGGGGUUUUGAUUGGUCUAAAAUAAGUAUAUAUAUGGAUGAUGCAUUGAAUAGUUUAGGAAUGAUUUUUAUGAGUUUCUCGAGGAAAUGAUCAUUGGAUUGACAAUUAUGCGAAUGCUCAUCUUGUGGAGGUGGCGUAGUUGCGACUGAAGGCGUUAUUGAAAAUAUAGGGAAGAUUAAAUGCAUUCCUAGUUUCUUACAAUGAAUAACGCAAUCUGAUAUGCAAGAUAGCAAGCAAGAUUUCAAAAGCUGUUGCAAACAUAGUGCACGUUUAAUCGCGAUUAUCUUAUUGGUAAUUAUACCGGCAUUACUUCGAUAUGGCGUGCAAAAUUGUCGCAAGAACAUUGUCCAUUUAUUGCCAGUAAUAUAAAUCGCGUUAAUAAAAGUUCUAUUUAAAUGCUUGUUCUCGUCGAUUCUGUACGCUUCGUCGUGAUAGCCCUUUUUGUCUUGAAUUACAAAUUCCCUCGUGUAGAACAGCGUGCCAUAUCCGGCGAUGGUGCUGCAGUGUGCAUUUGUAAUAAUGAUUCUAUCUUUAUCGUUCUUGCGUGGAAUCGUGCGAUUUCUGCGCAAAGACAUCUGACACCAUUCCAUGCGCUUUUCGUACCGCUGAUGUCAAAAUAGGUUAUCGAUACUGUAGACUGUAAGAUUGUAAAAGUAUUUGAACAUUGGUAGAGACUUUUCAUGAAUAUGGAAACUGUAAGAGAAGAAUGCAAUAACUUUUUUAUGGAGAAGCAAUUCUAAAAUUCAGCAACUUUGGAGCUAAAUUUUUAUCUUUUCCAAAUUUUCAAAAUAUGUAUAUAUAUAUAUUUAUUAAAUAUUAAAU
Long non-coding RNA from Frieseomelitta varia, 1538 nucleotides. RefSeq lists it as uncharacterized. The record is from RefSeq and is a predicted model, not a curated record. The transcript has 3 exons. Lineage: Eukaryota; Metazoa; Arthropoda; Insecta; Hymenoptera; Apidae.